ACACGGAAGGGAGGUGGUCCAAGAAGUGAUUUCUCAUUGGACGCGUGAGGUGACUGCGCGCUAGCGCACCUCGACUGCUCGAGGUCGCGCCUCCCGGCGCAAUCCCAAGCAGCUCACCGCAGCCCGCGGGUCGUGCAGGUCGUCCCCUGCACUUGUUGCAUCGGAUCUUCGCGGAUUCGGCGACAGGCCCGCGGGCUGUUCCCU
RNAcentral lists this small RNA (204 nucleotides) under Knoellia subterranea KCTC 19937. RNAcentral describes it as "Actinobacteria sRNA Ms_IGR-5". It matches the Rfam family "Actinobacteria sRNA Ms_IGR-5". Lineage: Bacteria; Bacillati; Actinomycetota; Actinomycetes; Micrococcales; Intrasporangiaceae. The record is from Rfam by way of RNAcentral.